Alexandromys fortis (reed vole) is the source of this 5117-nucleotide long non-coding RNA. RefSeq lists it as uncharacterized. The record is from RefSeq and is a predicted model, not a curated record. NCBI's taxonomy places the organism in Eukaryota, Metazoa, Chordata, Mammalia, Rodentia, Cricetidae. The transcript has 3 exons.
UCUUAUCUGUUGAUUUCAUUGGUUAAUAAUAAAGAAACUGCCUCGGCCCUCAUAGGACAGAAAAUUAGGUAGGUGGAGUAGACAGAGGAGAAUGCUGGGAAAAAGAAGCUGAGUGAGUGAGUCGCCAUGAUGCUCCCACUCCAGACAGACGCAGGUUAAGAUCCUCUCUGGAAAUCACGAGACUGGCCCAUGCCAGAGGAAAUCUGUAGCUCUAAUUUCCUCGGGACGCACCUGAAGGAAAGAGGCAAGCGAGGCUGCCCUGGACGGCUGCUGUCUACUGUGAGCUGGGCGGGCCAGAAGAGAACAGCAGACCUCAUUACAGAUGGUUGUGAGCCCCCAUAUGGUUCCUGGGAACUGAACUCAGGACCUUUGGAAGAGCAGGCAAUGCUCUUAACCUCUGAGCCAUCUCUCCAGCCCCGGUUGACUUAACUAUGUCCUGAGUGUGUUCCUGAGAGCUAACCAUAUUGAAACACAUAUCCCAUUGUGAGGCAAUUAUGUGGGGAGUGGGUGAAGUCUUGUUUUCUUAUUUUUAAAGAUUUAUUUAUUAAUUAUGUAUACAGUAUUGUCAGUAUUUUGUCUGCAUGUAUGUCUGCAAGCCAGAAGAGGGCACCAGAUCUUAUUACAGAUGGUUGUGAGCCACCAUGUGGUUGCUGGGAAUUGAACUCAGGACCUUUGGAAGAGCAAGCAGAGCUCUUAACCACUGAGCCAUCUCUCCAGCCCCUGAAGUCUUGUUUUCGAGACAGAGUUCCUCUGUAGUUUUGAAGCCUGUCCUGGCACUAGCUCUGUAGACCAGGCUGGCCUCAAACUCACAGAGAUCCGCCUGCCUCUGCCUUCUGAGUGCUGGGAUUGAAGGCGUGCGCCACCACCGCCUGUCACAGUGAAUGUAUUAUUGACACAAGCACAGUCAUGUGAAGGAACCCAAUGGCAAAGCCAUUUCAGGUCAGGCUCAGAGAAAUGGCAAUGCCUUACUUUGGCCCAAGUACAGAUGUUACAAAUGAUUGACCGUUAGCUAAAACCAGUGUAUGCAAAAACUAUGGAGCACUCCUUCCUUGCCCAGAUGUUGGCAGUCUGAGACUUACCCCCUAUUGAGAGGAGCUAUAUCAAGAUGCACAAAUAAAUGGGGUGAAAUUCUGGACUGUGUCUCCAUAGAGCGCGUGCCUCACCUGAUCCCAGCUUUUCUGUACACGUGUCUGUGUGUCUGUCCUUUCUUCACUCCUUUGUGGCUCCAGUCAGGUCACCUCUAAAUGGUGGCCUUCUCAGCAUAAGAAGAGGGUGGCAAUUCAGCCCUGCAUGGCGGCCUAGAGACGGAGCCCCUGAGGGGGGGUUAGGGUUAGUGCUGCUAUCAGUUUCUAUCUUUAAGGUCUCAUUGACAAGCUUGGAAGGAUGUGCUACCCAUUAAGACGCAGAGCCAAAUAUUUGUACAUUAAAACAGAUGUUGUUCGGAGUUUCUUUGCCUAUGGGCCAAAGGUGCAAAUUUUUCUGUUUCCCAGCAAAAUUCUACAGUAUUUUCUGAAGGCUUUAAAAAAUAUUUUAGUAUUCCAGAACUCUUACUAAGCUUUUAAAUAGUCCUAAUUGCAUGCCAAUGGGUUAUUUGCUUUUUACAAUUGCACUGUGGGAAACUCGAGUUGAUUGGCAGAGUGUUACAGCUCUUCAAAAGCAAUAAAAAUAUAAAUGAAAAUGGGCAGCCUAGGAGAGUGCAUAUACUAACUUCAUGUGUGCGUAUCUACAUAUCCACGUACACACAUGCACACGUGUGUGUCGAGUAUCAGCUUUGCCACCAAAUGUUCAUGUACCCUGUGUAUGUAUACAGAUUCCUUUUGGCUGGUGGACUGUGGAGGCUACGGAUACAAGCAGGUUCUUGUAUGCACAGACACAUUAAUGAGCUAGAACAGAUAUUGGCAAACCAUGCCUAGAGGGCCAGAUGUGGCCACACUGUUGGCUCAUGCGUUAUCCAUGUGCUUGAAGUUAGUUCCAAGACUGGUCUCACGUCUGACACUGCCUGCACGUUGGGGGUGAUUCCCAAGGAAUGAGGUGUGAUUACUUGCUACAUUUUAUUGAAUUUCCUGACAGCUAUUAUGUUCUGGUUACUAUUUAUAACAGGGACACGCGGCUCUAAAUUAGCCGCAGGCAGAGGCAAAUAGGAUAUUCUGGAAGGUUCUAACGAUGAAGCCGUCAAGAUCUUCUCCCAUGGAGUAUCUGACCGACUGACUCGCUGUGCUGGUCUGUGACCACACCCAUGGGCAUUCCUACCCAGGGAUAUCAUUUGAGUUUUGACAUCUGUAGUUUUACAGUGGAGCGUCAUUCUGUAGGCCCGAUUUAGCAGCUGAUUGACUGCCUGACUCAGUCCCUGAGUCAGCUGAUACCACGUGACGCAGUUCUGCCGCAUCAGCUAAACUGCAGACUUGAUCUUUUGGGCUUGGUCAGCUCACACCUUAAAGAGUCCUGAAAGUCAUAACUUUCGGGAUUGCCAUUCAAAAGUGUUUUGAAUCCAUUGAUCAAAAAAAAAAAUACAAAUUUUAAAGGAUAAUUAAUACCAGGAACAUAGUAAUGUUGAUUCCUACACUUAUCAUGAGGAGAUGAUUCUAGUGUCUGAAAAUACCAUGUGUACAAAUUGUACAAAGUCUCCUGGGAUUGAAACUAUACCCUUUAAUUUUUUUUUUUUUUUGCUUUUUCUUUUUAUUAAGUUUUGCUUAGCAAAAGGGUAACUAACAAGCACACCCUUCUCCAAUUUCUUUUUUGUUUGUUUUUGUUUCUUUUGAGACAGGCUCUUACUCCGUGGCCCUGGUUGGCCUCGAAUUUGCCUCCUGCCUCUGCCUCCUAGUACUCAGAUUACAGAAGUGUGCCACCAUAUCCAACUUUAACAUACCUCUUUCAUACUAUAUGGGAGGGGAGGCACGGUUUAUGGGCUAAGGCAGAAACUUACUUGAACCAGAGCUAGAACAGCGGUUUAUUCUAGAUUUUUCAACGCAAAGCCUGAUAAGAACUCUCUCUCUCUCUCUCUCUCUCUCUCUCUCUCUCUCUCUCUCUCUCUCUCCCUCUCUCUCUCCUUCCCUUCUUCUCUUCCCCCUCCUCCCCCCUCCAAAGCCUCCUAUGUUAUGAAGUUUUGAAAGUUAAAGCUGGGCAUGAUGACUCAGGAGGACUGUUACAAGUUUGAGGCCUAAACUAUAGAGUGAGUCCCAGGCCAUCCUGGGCUACAGAAUGACUACCUGUCUCAAAUCUCUCUCUGUCUCUGUCUCUCUCUGUCUCUCUCCGUCUCUCUCUGUCUCUGUCUCUCUCUCUCUCUCUCUCUCUGUCUCUGUCUCUCUGUCUCUGUCUCUCUGUCUCUCUCUCUCUCACACACAGUAAUUUAGGAUAAACUUAUGUAGGAAAAUGAAAAUCAAAGAAGAAAAAAAAUCAUUUGUCUUAUAUACCUUUUUUGGUUUUUGGGGUUUUGUUUGUUUGUUUUUGUUUUUUGAGACAGGGUUUCUCUGUAGCUUUGGAGCCUGUCCUGGAACCAGCUGUAGACCAGGCUGGCUUUGAGCUCACAGAGAUCUGCCUGCCUCUGCCUCUAUACCUUUUUUUCUAAUUUAAAAAUGUAAAAUUUUAUUUUUAUUAUUUUGGGGUGUGUGUGUGUGUGUGUGUGUGUGCAUGCUUCACACACACACAUCCACUUAAGUGCAGGUGUCCUUGGAGGCCAUCAUAUCUGGAGCUGAAGUUGUAGGUGUUUGUGAGCUGCCUAGUGUGGGGACUGGGAACUGAACUUGGAUCCUCUGGAAGAGCAGUCAGUAUAAUUGCUAUGCCAUCUCUCCAAUUCCUAUUUUAGGCUUUUAAAAUCAACCUUUAUUUCUGUUCUUUAUGCUAUAUAGAUCACCUAUCUUUUCCCCUUCAGUAUUAUACAUUUUCCAUGUUAUUCUAAGUCCUAAAAUAUUAUUAAAAUUAUUGUUGGUUUAAUCAUUUGGUUGUAUGUAGUUUUCUGUAUUUUUCCUCAAAAAAAAUAUUCUGGCUUAUUGGAGUAAUACUCCAGACUGUUAGUCUGAUAUUUCUCAAUUAAUGAAACUGAAAGAAAGCAUGCUACAGGGCCAUUCGUCUAAUUGCUGUCUGUUGAUUUUAUUGUAAAACAUCUGCAGUUCAUUACGUAGGAAUGGAAUUUAAUAUUCAAGUCAAAUAACUUUAUAAUUGCCUCUACCUUGACAAACACAAAGCAAUAUUCAAUCCUGUCUUAUUUGUGUGCGGGUCUAAACUAGUGUCUAUCUGUUUAUCUAGACGGGGUCUCCUUACAUUGCCCAGGCUGACUUUGGGCUGCCAGGCUCCAGAAAAGCUCUUGAAGCCUCUUCUAGGAGCGUCACCACACCAGGCUUCAUUUGCAUGCUUAGUGGAGUGAAGUUUCCAGAAGCCAGCGCGGUUUUUCACGAGAGCAGGUGAAAGCAGCAGGUUUGGCGAGUAACCAGCAGUCACAUGGUAGAGGACAGAGAGCCUCUUGCUUGCUGAUGACCAUAGAGUGUAAAGUGUGGUUUUCUUCUCAGCUCUGCUUCUCGGCUGGUAGCCUGGAUGCCCAUCUUCUCAGGGGUUGAGGCUCAUCUUUGCUGGUUGCCCGAUGAUCCCCCUUCUCUUACCUACCAUGGUCCCCUCAGGCGCAGCCGUACCCCUUCUACUCUUCCAAGAGUGUCAGAGUUAGCUGUUUAAAAGGAAGGAUCUCUCCCAGUGCCCUCGUGACCACAGCUCUUUCUUUAGCUAACUUCCUCUCUGUUGCAGCUUUUCUCUCCCUGGGAAUUUGGCUUGUGGUUUUGAGGGCCUGACCGGAAGCCAGCUAGAAGUGGAUCACAGGUCUCUUAAGAGCUGUCCUCCCUCUUGGACCUCAAUGCAGUGCACAAGGGCCAGCCUGAGCUUUCUGUCCCCUCCCCCUGCUUUUGACGGAACUCUUUCUAUCAGCCAAGUCGUCCAUGAGGCUGUCUGUGCCUCUCACUGUCCCUCCCAUGAUGCUGUUCGGCUCUCCUACGGUAGUGCUCUGAGGAACCUCUAUAUGGGCUACUCUGACAUAUUUAAAGCUGUCUGAGCUCUCAACUUAAGCUGAUGUUCUGAGACUAGAAAUUUAUGAACAGAAUUAUUUUUUGUGUUAACUUCCAUUUUAAAGUCUCACU